UCGAUUCAAAGGAACAUCGCCGAUCUUCUUGGUUAAUCAUCUCGAGUCACAAAAUGAUCUUAUUCGUCAGUGAACUUGACCUACCGCUUGACAACAAGGCUGUGUUUGCAAUAAUAAAUGACAACAAAGACUCAAAGUCUAUUGAAGUGGACUUGUGGGACAUAUACAAAGCAGCAUCACACUUGACUCCGAAGAAAUCCUUCCUUGGGAGGUGGUCAGCCAAGAAGUGGAGACCUUCCACAGGAGUGUUGCGAGAACGGACCCAUCAGGGGUCUCUGCCAAGCCCAGAGUCCAACGACAGAGAAGAACUGAUUGAAAUACAAGGCGGCCUAGUGAAAGGACAGUUCCAACCUCUUCCUUUGCCUCCACUUUUCUCGAGAGAGCCCUGGGAGAGGAGGAGGGACCUGUCGGGUCUUGUCCUCCGUUGCACAACGAACCAGGACUAUCCAUUAAUGAUGUUUUCCGAUGUGAAUGAGGACGACACUGUACGAGCAGAAAGCUUCCACGGGGUUAUUGGAAGUGUAUUCCACAUGUUGAGGCAGACACUGAACUUCAC
Molecule: long non-coding RNA, 556 nt
Organism: Macrobrachium nipponense
Lineage: Eukaryota; Metazoa; Arthropoda; Malacostraca; Decapoda; Palaemonidae
Exons: 3
Source: RefSeq, a predicted model, not a curated record